AUUGAACGCUGGCGGCAGGCCUAACACAUGCAAGUCGAGCGGGGUUUUCGGACCUAGCGGCGGACGGGUGAGUAAUGCGUAGGAAGCUGCCCGAUAGAGGGGGAUACCAGUUGGAAACGACUGUUAAUACCGCAUAAUGUCUACGGACCAAAGUGUGGGCCCUUCGGGCCACAUGCUAUCGGAUGCGCCUACGUGGGAUU
RNAcentral lists this ribosomal RNA (200 nucleotides) under uncultured bacterium. RNAcentral's name for it is "partial 16S ribosomal RNA". It matches the Rfam family "Bacterial small subunit ribosomal RNA", at positions 30 to 242 of the family's 1533-position model. The record is from RNAcentral.